This 496-nucleotide long non-coding RNA is filed under the name Salmo trutta (river trout). RNAcentral's name for it is "lncRNA (ENSSTUG00000019136.1)". The record is from RNAcentral. Lineage: Eukaryota; Metazoa; Chordata; Actinopteri; Salmoniformes; Salmonidae.
AAAGCAACUUUUUUCUCUCUUUUUUUCUCUGUGUGUGUGUGUCUGUGUGUGUGUGUGUGUGUAGGGCCUGUUCAUCUUCCUGAUAUAUGGGGUGUACAACACAGAGGUUCGGAGCACAGUUAAAAGGAUCAAGGAGAGAAGAAAAGCGCUACGUUUUUCAAACUGUGCCAGCUCCAGACCCUCCAGCUCAUUAACCAGCUCCCGGCCCGCCAGCUCCCCCACGCCUUCCCCCCAGGGCCCCCAAGGUCCCAGCCUGGACGAAGGGGGGGACAAGACCUGCUCCGGCCAGCCCAGCCCACUCCCCAACCCCACCUACCCCCACACCCUAGGCCUUGUGGAGGAGAACGCCAACAGAGGUCAGCUGUCCAUUCCUUGUGUCCCAAAGAGGCUAAAGGAUUCCCACAGUCAUGCUACAGGUGCCUUGAUCCCCAGAAUGGUAAUAACACACAUACUGUACACAUACACACAUACACAUUCAGUGCAUUCGGAAAGUAUU